UACGUAGGUGGCGAGCGUUGUCCGGAUUUACUGGGCGUAAAGUGCGCGCAGGCGGUCGUUCAAGUCGCGUGUGAAAGCCCCCGGCUCAACUGGGGAGGGUCACGCGAUACUGAUCGACUCGAAGGCAGGAGAGGGUAGUGGAAUUCCCGGUGUAGUGGUGAAAUGCGUAGAUAUCGGGAGGAACACCAGUGGCGAAGGCGACUACCUGGCCUGUUCUUGACGCUGAGGCGCGAAAGCUAGGGGAGCAAACGGG
This 253-nucleotide ribosomal RNA is filed under the name uncultured bacterium. Its description in RNAcentral is "partial 16S ribosomal RNA". It matches the Rfam family "Bacterial small subunit ribosomal RNA", at positions 524 to 776 of the family's 1533-position model. The record is from RNAcentral.